This 422-nucleotide ribosomal RNA is filed under the name uncultured eukaryote. Its description in RNAcentral is "SSU rRNA". It matches the Rfam family "Eukaryotic small subunit ribosomal RNA", at positions 592 to 1018 of the family's 1831-position model. The record is from RNAcentral.
CAAUAGCGUAUAUUAAAGUUGUUGCGGUUAAAAAGCUCGUAGUUGGAUUUCUGCCGAGGACGACCGGUCCGCCCUCUGGGUGAGUAUCUGGCUCGGCCUGGGCAUCUUCUUGGAGAACGUAACUGCACUUGACUGUGUGGUGCGGUAUCCAGGACUUUUACUUUGAGGAAAUUAGAGUGUUUCAAGCAGGCACACGCCUUGAAUACAUUAGCAUGGAAUAAUAAUAUAGGGCCUCGGUUCUAUUUUGUUGGUUUCUAGAACUGAGGUAAUGAUUAAUAGGGAUAAUUGGGGGCAUUCGUAUUAACGCGUCAGAGGUGAAAUUCUUGGAUUGCGUUACGACGAACUACUGCGAAAGCAUUUGCCAAGGAUGUUUUCAUUGAUCAAGAACGAAAGUGUGGGGAUCGAAGAUGAUCAGAUACCAU